GGGAAUGUGGCUCAGUGGUAGAGUGCUUGUCUAGCAUGUAUGAAGCUAGAUGUUCAAUUUCUCAGUACCA
This 70-nucleotide transfer RNA is filed under the name Dipodomys ordii (Ord's kangaroo rat). It matches the Rfam family "tRNA". From Rfam's summary of the family: Transfer RNA (tRNA) molecules are approximately 80 nucleotides in length. Their secondary structure includes four short double-helical elements and three loops (D, anti-codon, and T loops). Lineage: Eukaryota; Metazoa; Chordata; Mammalia; Rodentia; Heteromyidae. The record is from Rfam by way of RNAcentral.